GAUAAACGCUGGCGGCGCACAUAAGACAUGCAAGUCGAACGAACUUAACUCAUUCUUUUAGUUUGAGAGCGGUUAGUGGCGGACUGGUGAGUAACACGUAAGCAACCUGCCUAUUAGAGGGGAAUAACAGUGAGAAAUCAUUGCUAAUACCGCAUAUGCUAACAGUAUCGCAUGAUACAGUUAGGAAAGGAGCAAUCCGCUAAUAGAUGGGCUUGCGUCUGAUUAGAUAGUUGGUGGGGUAACGGCCGUACCAAGGCGACGAUCAGUAGCCGACCUGAGAGGGUGACCGGCCACAUUGGGACUGAGACACGGCCCAAACUCCUACGGGAGGCAGCAGUGGGGAAUAUUGCACAAUGGGCGAAAGCCUGAUGCAGCGACGCCGCGUGAAUGAAGAAGUAUUUCGGUAUGUAAAG
RNAcentral lists this ribosomal RNA (413 nucleotides) under uncultured bacterium. RNAcentral's name for it is "bacterial SSU rRNA". It matches the Rfam family "Bacterial small subunit ribosomal RNA", at positions 28 to 430 of the family's 1533-position model. The record is from RNAcentral.